This 660-nucleotide ribosomal RNA is filed under the name uncultured Sebacinaceae. Its description in RNAcentral is "eukaryotic LSU rRNA". The stretch from base 221 to 374 matches the Rfam family "5.8S ribosomal RNA". Lineage: Eukaryota; Fungi; Basidiomycota; Agaricomycetes; Sebacinales; Sebacinaceae. The record is from RNAcentral.
AAAGUCGUAACAAGGUUUCCGUAGGUGAACCUGCGGAAGGAUCAUUAUUGAUUGCGAAUCGUUGUCUUCAGUGCUGGCCAGCUCUGGCAAGUGCACGUUGGCGGCUUUUCAUCCAAUACCCCCUGUGAACCUUUGGCCUCUUGCUAGCUUUGGCUGGCAGAGGAUUUUUACACCCACUCGAAUGUAAUGAAAUUAUUGUUGUGCGCAAGCACUACUGUACAACUUUCAACAACGGAUCUCUUGGCUCUCGCAUCGAUGAAGAGCGCAGCGAAAUGCGAUAAGUAAUGUGAAUUGCAGAAUUCAGUGAAUCAUCGAAUCUUUGAACGCACCUUGCACCCUUUGGCAUUCCGAAGGGUAUGCUCGUUUGAGUGUCAUUGUACUCUCACACUUCUGAUCCUUUUGGAUUGGGAGCGGUGGACUUGGGUGUUGCUGCUUUACUGCGGCUCACCUCAAAUGCAUUAGUGCAACUCUUGGUUGGACAUAGUACGGCGUGAUAAGUAUCUUCGCCGGCACCUCGCAAGAGGGUGGCUGAUCAGGAGCUCUGUGCUCUCCAACUGUCUUCAGACAACAACUGACAACUUGACCUCAAAUCGAGUAGGACCACCCGCUGAACUUAAGCAUAUCAAUAAGCGGAGGAAAAGAAACUAACAAGGAUUCCCC